CCUACGGGAGGCAGCAGUGAGGAAUAUUGGUCAAUGGACGAGAGUCUGAACCAGCCAAGUAGCGUGAAGGAUGACUGCCCUAUGGGUUGUAAACUUCUUUUAUAAAGGAAUAAAACGAGGCACGUGUGCCUUUUUGCAUGUACUUUAUGAAUAAGGAUCGGCUAACUCCGUGCCAGCAGCCGCGGUAAUACGGAGGAUCCGAGCGUUAUCCGGAUUUAUUGGGUUUAAAGGGAGCGUAGAUGGGUUGUUAAGUCAGUUGUGAAAGUUUGCGGCUCAACCGUAAAAUUGCAAUUGAUACUGGCAGUCGUGAGUACAGUUGAGGUAAGCGGAAUUCGUGGUGUAGCGGUGAAAUGCUUAGAUAGCACGAAGAACCCCGAUUGCGAAGGCAGCUUACUAACCUGUGACUGACAUUGAUGCUCGAAAGUGUGGGUAUCAAACAGGAUUAGAUACCCUUGUAGUC
Molecule: ribosomal RNA, 460 nt
Filed under: uncultured bacterium
Lineage: Bacteria
Description: partial 16S ribosomal RNA
Rfam family: Bacterial small subunit ribosomal RNA
Source: RNAcentral